Molecule: long non-coding RNA, 769 nt
Filed under: Pan troglodytes (chimpanzee)
Lineage: Eukaryota; Metazoa; Chordata; Mammalia; Primates; Hominidae
Description: long non-coding RNA NONPTRT007515
Source: RNAcentral
GCCAUUUUCUCACAUUGUUACUUUGUUUUUAGAGAGCAUCUUUGGAUCUCUCCAACCCCUUUGUAGUGAGGAAGGGAGUCUAUGCCCAGUGAUCCUGGGUAUGAGAAGGUGCUCCUCUCCUCCCAUAUACAUGAUGAUGUGGGUUUAUGCUCAGGGGCCCAGAGGGUAACUUGUGACCACAUUCCUUGAGGGGAGUUUCUACCAGAAUAUUUAUAUUCUGAGCAAAGGCACAGGCCAGCAAUUCCUUUCCUGUUGCUUCCCAUCCCUGGCCUCCAUCCUCCUCCCCCACUGAGUUGAUGCACUGAGGAUGGCUCACGAGCCUGAAGUUACACUCAGUGAUGGCUGUGCUUAUGCAGGUGGUCGUCCUCCCCUCCACAAGCCCACAGGAUGGUGUUGGUCCAGCACCCGAGAGCCUCCAAAUCCUAUCGAGGGAGGAACUUUGGCAUUCAGGGAUCCUGUCUGUAUCAUCUUUGACCACUGCUCCUGCAGCCUCCAGAUGAAAAUGUCCAGUGAGGAAAUCUCAUUCUCUAAUGAAGUUACCCAUCCCGCUGAGUUUCUAAGAAGUUUCUCCCUGUGCUGAGCUUGCGUGUGCCUUAUCUGCUUCUCCAUGACUUCCAGCCUGGGGUCUUACCCUGUCCUCUGGAGCAAUGCAGAGUUGACUCCAUGGAUGCAGAGCCCACAGACACAGAGGGCCAGCUAUACCACAGCACAAAUAGUCCCAAGCAACAAGAAAAAUUAGAAGACAAUGAAGCAAUGCCUCAAAAUUCUG